RNAcentral lists this ribosomal RNA (2520 nucleotides) under Escherichia coli. Its description in RNAcentral is "partial 23S ribosomal RNA". It matches the Rfam family "Bacterial large subunit ribosomal RNA", at positions 354 to 2857 of the family's 2925-position model. The record is from RNAcentral. Lineage: Bacteria; Pseudomonadati; Pseudomonadota; Gammaproteobacteria; Enterobacterales; Enterobacteriaceae.
GCGAUACAGGGUGACAGCCCCGUACACAAAAAUGCACAUAUUGUGAGCUCGAUGAGUAGGGCGGGACACGUGGUAUCCUGUCUGAAUAUGGGGGGACCAUCCUCCAAGGCUAAAUACUCCUGACUGACCGAUAGUGAACCAGUACCGUGAGGGAAAGGCGAAAAGAACCCCGGCGAGGGGAGUGAAAAAGAACCUGAAACCGUGUACGUACAAGCAGUGGGAGCACGCUUAGGCGUGUGACUGCGUACCUUUUGUAUAAUGGGUCAGCGACUUAUAUUCUGUAGCAAGGUUAACCGAAUAGGGGAGCCGAAGGGAAACCGAGUCUUAACUGGGCGUUAAGUUGCAGGGUAUAGACCCGAAACCCGGUGAUCUAGCCAUGGGCAGGUUGAAGGUUGGGUAACACUAACUGGAGGACCGAACCGACUAAUGUUGAAAAAUUAGCGGAUGACUUGUGGCUGGGGGUGAAAGGCCAAUCAAACCGGGAGAUAGCUGGUUCUCCCCGAAAGCUAUUUAGGUAGCGCCUCGUGAAUUCAUCUCCGGGGGUAGAGCACUGUUUCGGCAAGGGGGUCAUCCCGACUUACCAACCCGAUGCAAACUGCGAAUACCGGAGAAUGUUAUCACGGGAGACACACGGCGGGUGCUAACGUCCGUCGUGAAGAGGGAAACAACCCAGACCGCCAGCUAAGGUCCCAAAGUCAUGGUUAAGUGGGAAACGAUGUGGGAAGGCCCAGACAGCCAGGAUGUUGGCUUAGAAGCAGCCAUCAUUUAAAGAAAGCGUAAUAGCUCACUGGUCGAGUCGGCCUGCGCGGAAGAUGUAACGGGGCUAAACCAUGCACCGAAGCUGCGGCAGCGACGCUGAUGCGUUGUUGGGUAGGGGAGCGUUCUGUAAGCCUGCGAAGGUGUGCUGUGAGGCAUGCUGGAGGUAUCAGAAGUGCGAAUGCUGACAUAAGUAACGAUAAAGCGGGUGAAAAGCCCGCUCGCCGGAAGACCAAGGGUUCCUGUCCAACGUUAAUCGGGGCAGGGUGAGUCGACCCCUAAGGCGAGGCCGAAAGGCGUAGUCGAUGGGAAACAGGUUAAUAUUCCUGUACUUGGUGUUACUGCGAAGGGGGGACGGAGAAGGCUAUGUUGGCCGGGCGACGGUUGUCCCGGUUUAAGCGUGUAGGCUGGUUUUCCAGGCAAAUCCGGAAAAUCAAGGCUGAGGCGUGAUGACGAGGCACUACGGUGCUGAAGCAACAAAUGCCCUGCUUCCAGGAAAAGCCUCUAAGCAUCAGGUAACAUCAAAUCGUACCCCAAACCGACACAGGUGGUCAGGUAGAGAAUACCAAGGCGCUUGAGAGAACUCGGGUGAAGGAACUAGGCAAAAUGGUGCCGUAACUUCGGGAGAAGGCACGCUGAUAUGUAGGUGAAGUCCCUCGCGGAUGGAGCUGAAAUCAGUCGAAGAUACCAGCUGGCUGCAACUGUUUAUUAAAAACACAGCACUGUGCAAACACGAAAGUGGACGUAUACGGUGUGACGCCUGCCCGGUGCCGGAAGGUUAAUUGAUGGGGUCAGCGCAAGCGAAGCUCUUGAUCGAAGCCCCGGUAAACGGCGGCCGUAACUAUAACGGUCCUAAGGUAGCGAAAUUCCUUGUCGGGUAAGUUCCGACCUGCACGAAUGGCGUAAUGAUGGCCAGGCUGUCUCCACCCGAGACUCAGUGAAAUUGAACUCGCUGUGAAGAUGCAGUGUACCCGCGGCAAGACGGAAAGACCCCGUGAACCUUUACUAUAGCUUGACACUGAACAUUGAGCCUUGAUGUGUAGGAUAGGUGGGAGGCUUUGAAGUGUGGACGCCAGUCUGCAUGGAGCCGACCUUGAAAUACCACCCUUUAAUGUUUGAUGUUCUAACGUGGACCCGUAAUCCGGGUUGCGGACAGUGUCUGGUGGGUAGUUUGACUGGGGCGGUCUCCUCCUAAAGAGUAACGGAGGAGCACGAAGGUUGGCUAAUCCUGGUCGGACAUCAGGAGGUUAGUGCAAUGGCAUAAGCCAGCUUGACUGCGAGCGUGACGGCGCGAGCAGGUGCGAAAGCAGGUCAUAGUGAUCCGGUGGUUCUGAAUGGAAGGGCCAUCGCUCAACGGAUAAAAGGUACUCCGGGGAUAACAGGCUGAUACCGCCCAAGAGUUCAUAUCGACGGCGGUGUUUGGCACCUCGAUGUCGGCUCAUCACAUCCUGGGGCUGAAGUAGGUCCCAAGGGUAUGGCUGUUCGCCAUUUAAAGUGGUACGCGAGCUGGGUUUAGAACGUCGUGAGACAGUUCGGUCCCUAUCUGCCGUGGGCGCUGGAGAACUGAGGGGGGCUGCUCCUAGUACGAGAGGACCGGAGUGGACGCAUCACUGGUGUUCGGGUUGUCAUGCCAAUGGCACUGCCCGGUAGCUAAAUGCGGAAGAGAUAAGUGCUGAAAGCAUCUAAGCACGAAACUUGCCCCGAGAUGAGUUCUCCCUGACUCCUUGAGAGUCCUGAAGGAACGUUGAAGACGACGACGUUGAU